Molecule: ribosomal RNA, 439 nt
Filed under: uncultured bacterium
Lineage: Bacteria
Description: bacterial SSU rRNA
Rfam family: Bacterial small subunit ribosomal RNA
Source: RNAcentral
GGAGAUGAGUAGAGUGGCGCACGGGUGAGUAACGCGUGGGUAAUCUGCCCUUGAGCUUGGGAUAACCUGCCGAAAGGUGGGCUAAUACCGGAUAAUAUCCCGCAACCUAAGUUGCGGGAUCAAAGAUGGCUUCGGCUGUCGCUUGGGGAUGAGCCCGCGUCUCAUUAGCUAGUUGGUGGGGUAACGGCCUACCAAGGCAACGAUGGGGUAGCUGGUCUGAGAGGAUGAUCAGUCACACUGGAACUGAAACACGGUCCAGACUCCUACGGGAGGCAGCAGUGGGGAAUAUUGCGCAAUGGGGGAAACCCUGACGCAGCGACGCCGCGUGAGUGAGGAAGGCUUUCGGGUCGUAAAGCUCUGUCAGAGGGGAAGAAGACUAUUAGAUUAAGAGUUGAAUAGUUUGACGGUACCCUCAAAGGAAGCACCGGCUAACUCCGUG